UGCAUUUUAAAUAGCAGUUUAACUGGGAUUGUUCUUGUGGAAAUUCAUUUCUCUAUCAAGCACACGUUUCUUUGCUAGCCAUCUCAGUCCUAACAUGCAUUUCUUUGCUGUGCAGAGAAGGGAAAACUAAUGUUUUGCUCAGAUUGACUGUACUUCAAGAUCAGAGAGGAAUGAAAACGGAACUUGAACACUCAUGAGACUCUCUCCUUGCUUUGCACCAACAGAUGCUGGUUUGUUAUUAUCCUGGUGGGAGCCCUGAGCUGUCCAGCACCAAAU
Molecule: long non-coding RNA, 276 nt
Filed under: Gallus gallus (chicken)
Lineage: Eukaryota; Metazoa; Chordata; Aves; Galliformes; Phasianidae
Source: RNAcentral